Long non-coding RNA from Helianthus annuus (common sunflower), 1090 nucleotides. RefSeq lists it as uncharacterized. Lineage: Eukaryota; Viridiplantae; Streptophyta; Magnoliopsida; Asterales; Asteraceae. The record is from RefSeq and is a predicted model, not a curated record. The transcript has 4 exons.
CUGUUUUACACCUCUUUCCAGCACACCCCUUUUCUUUUCGUUUUAUCUUCUUCAUUUGGCUAAAUAGAAAGGUACGAACACCGAUUAAAUCCGCCGCCCCACCGCCCCACCGCCCCACCGUCGACUGUGUGCUGUCUUUACGGCCGAUGGCCAGUGGCGAUGGUUCCUGGUUCCAGACGACGAUUGAAUUCCGAUGAAUACAGAUCCGCCGCCCGCCGCCGCCUUUGUCCUGACGUUCCGGCCGUCGGUCAGUGACGACGGUCUCUGGCUCAGACGACGAUGGAUGGUGGCGAUGGUGGUCGAUCUGUGUAUCGUUGUCACGUUUACCGGCGAAAUGGAUUUUCAUUGACUACCCAACUCAGAGCAGCUUUGGUCGACUUGGUUUUCUCUGGUACAAGUGAUUUAAGAACAACAGAGAGAUUGAGAUUGUUAAAAACCUUAUCAUCAUUCUUGCAUUAACCAGGAAGACAUUUUCUUUCAAAACAAGACUCGAUGUAAUUGUGGUUGGAGUUCUUUGUUUUCUUGCAAAGGUUGCGGGCUGUGAUGACAUUUAGUUUCUCGGUAACUUAUGGUUUUAUUGGAUACUAUUAAUUGGAUACUAUUAAUUGGUGAACGAAAUGAACAGUGAUUCUUCUGAUUGGUUGAUGCCCCCAAUGAAGGAUCUCCACCAAAUUUGUACGUGGCGGUUACACCUUCCCCAGCCCACCCCUUUUAUUGCCCUUAUAUUCUUUAUUUCCCUGAUCAUGGGUUUUUUCGAUUGGCUGUCAUGAGUUCAAAUUCUUUUUUCAAAGAUUUAUGAGGGUGGCGUGACAAGGAUGAUGGAUGGUAGGUUUUGACCUGCAACCCGUCUUGCAGCCCCGAUUUUCGGAAGCUCUGAGCCAUAGAAAACUUGAUUUUCUCUUGGGUGCGUAUUUUUGCUUUGUUUUGGUGUUAUUUUUGUAAGAUGGUUUUAUGCACCUCAAUAGACGGUUUGUGAUUCCCUUGAUUUGUAUGCAUUAGUCUAAUUCUCACUAGCAAUGAUGUAAAAUCUGAGCCACUUUACACUUUGAAUUCUUGGUUAAAUCUGAGCCACAGUCUGGUUUGUUCACAA